Molecule: transfer RNA, 74 nt
Filed under: Siphoviridae sp. ctENB54
Lineage: Duplodnaviria; Heunggongvirae; Uroviricota; Caudoviricetes
Description: tRNA-Met
Rfam family: tRNA
About the family: Transfer RNA (tRNA) molecules are approximately 80 nucleotides in length. Their secondary structure includes four short double-helical elements and three loops (D, anti-codon, and T loops).
Source: RNAcentral
AGCGGAAUAGAGCAGUCUGGUAGCUCACUUGGCUCAUACCCAAGAGGUCGGAGGUUCAAAUCCUUCUUCCGCAA